This 484-nucleotide ribosomal RNA is filed under the name uncultured bacterium. Its description in RNAcentral is "partial 16S ribosomal RNA". It matches the Rfam family "Bacterial small subunit ribosomal RNA", at positions 30 to 507 of the family's 1533-position model. The record is from RNAcentral.
AUUGAACGCUGGCGGCAGGCCUAACACAUGCAAGUCGAGCGGAUGAAGGGAACUUGCUCCUGGAUUCAGCGGCGGACGGGUGAGUAAUGCCUAGGAAUCUGCCUGGUAGUGGGGGAUAACGUCCGGAAACGGGCGCUAAUACCGCAUACGUCCUGAGGGAGAAAGUGGGGGAUCUUCGGACAUCACGCUAUCAGAUGAGCCUAGGUCGGAUUAGCUAGUUGGUGGGGUAAAGGCCUACCAAGGCGACGAUCCGUAACUGGUCUGAGAGGAUGAUCAGUCACACUGGAACUGAGACACGGUCCAGGCUCCUACGGGAGGCAGCAGUGGGGAAUAUUGGACAAUGGGCGAAAGCCUGAUCCAGCCAUGCCGCGUGUGUGAAGAAGGUCUUCGGAUUGUAAAGCACUUUAAGUUGGGAGGAAGGGCAGUAAGUUAAUACCUUGCUGUUUUGACGUUACCAACAGAAUAAGCACCGGCUAACUUCGUG